Molecule: ribosomal RNA, 501 nt
Filed under: uncultured bacterium
Lineage: Bacteria
Description: partial 16S ribosomal RNA
Rfam family: Bacterial small subunit ribosomal RNA
Source: RNAcentral
AUUGAACGCUGGCGGCAUGCCUUACACAUGCAAGUCGAACGGCAGCACGGGUGCUUGCACCUGGUGGCGAGUGGCGAACGGGUGAGUAAUACAUCGGAACGUACCUUAUCGUGGGGGAUAACGCAGCGAAAGCUGUGCUAAUACCGCAUACGCCCUGAGGGGGAAAGCGGGGGAUCGCAAGACCUCGCGCGAUUAGAGCGGCCGAUGCCUGAUUAGCUAGUUGGUGGGGUAAAAGCCCACCAAGGCGACGAUCAGUAGCUGGUCUGAGAGGACGAUCAGCCACACUGGGGCUGGGACACGGCCCAGACUCCUACGGGAGGCAGCAGUGGGGAAUUUUGGACAAUGGGGGCAACCCUGAUCCAGCAAUGCCGCGUGAGUGAAGAAGGCCUUCGGGUUGUAAAGCUCUUUUGUCAGGGAAGAAACACCGGCUCUAACACAGUCCGGGAAUGACGGUACCUGAAGAAUAAGCACCGGCUAACUACGUGCCAGCCGCCGCAGUAA